AGUAACACGUAAGUAACCUGCCUUUAAGACGAGGAUAACAACCGGAAACGGUUGCUAAGACUGGAUAGGAAACAAAAAGGCAUCUUUUUGUUUUUAAAAGACCUUCUUACGAAGGUAUGCUUAAAGAGGGGCUUGCGCCACAUUAGUUAGUUGGUAGAGUAAAAGCCUACCAAGACGAUGAUGUGUAGCUGGACUGAGAGGUUGAACAGCCACAUUGGGACUGAGACACGGCCCAAACUCCUACGGGAGGCAGCAGUAGGGAAUUUUCGGCAAUGGAGGAAACUCUGACCGAGCAACGCCGCGUGAACGAUGAAGUAUUUCGGUAUGUAAAGUUCUUUUAUUGAAGAAGAAAAAGUAGUGGAAAAACUAUAUUGACGUUAUUCAAUGAAUAAGCCCCGGCUAACUAUGUGCCAGCAGCCGCGGUAAGACAUAGGGGGCGAGCGUUAUCCGGAAUUAUUGGGCGUAAAGGGUGCGUAGGCUGUUAGAUAAGUCUAUAAUUUAAUUUCAGUGCUUAACGCUGUCUUGUUAUAGAAACUGUCUUGACUAGAGUGAGAUAGAGGCAAGCGGAAUUCCAUGUGUAGCGGUAAAAUGUGUAAAUAUAUGGAGGAACACCAGAAGCGUAGGCGGCUUGCUGGGUCUUUACUGACGCUGAGGCACGAAAGCGUGGGUAGCAAACAGGAUUAGAUACCCUGGUAGUCCACGCCGUAAACGAUGAGUACUAAGUGUCGGGGUAAAACUCGGUACUGAAGUUAACACAUUAAGUACUCCGCCUGAGUAGUACGUACGCAAGUAUGAAACUUAAAGGAAUUGACGGGACUCCGCACAAGCGGUGGAUCAUGUUGUUUAAUUCGAAGAUACACGAAAAAUCUUACCAGGUCUUGACAUACUCUGCAAAGCUAUAGAAAUAUAGUGGAGGUUAUCAGGGAUACAGGUGGUGCAUGGUUGUCGUCAGUUCGUGUCGUGAGAUGUUAGGUUAAGUCCUAAAACGAGCGCAACCCUUGUCGUUAAUUGCCAGCACGUAAUGGUGGGGACUUUAACGAGACUGCCAAUUAAACAUUGGAGGAAGGUGAGGAUUACGUCAAAUCAUCAUGCCCCUUAUGAUCUGGGCUACAAACGUGAUACAAUGGCUGUGACAAAGAGUAGCUGAAACGCGAGUUUUUAGCCAAUCUCAAAAAAGCAGUCUCAGUUCGGAUUGAAGUCUGUAACUCGACUUCAUGAAGUUGGAAUCGCUAGUAAUCGCGAAUCAGCAUGUCGCGGUGAAUACGUUCUCGGGGUUUGUACACACCGCCCGUCAAACCACGAAAGUUAGCAAUACCCGAAAGCAGUAGCUUAACUUCGCAAGAAGAGGGAACUGUCU
Molecule: ribosomal RNA, 1357 nt
Filed under: Potato witches'-broom phytoplasma
Lineage: Bacteria; Bacillati; Mycoplasmatota; Mollicutes; Acholeplasmatales; Acholeplasmataceae
Description: bacterial SSU rRNA
Rfam family: Bacterial small subunit ribosomal RNA
Source: RNAcentral